GGGUCAGUAGGUUGGUCGUGCCACCGGUACGUACUGGUCUCACUGAUCCCUCCUUCCUGAAGAACCGUAAUGCCAUGAAUUUGGUGUUGCGGGGAAACAGGACUGUUACUUUGAAAAAAUUAGAGUGUUUAAAGCAAGCUAACGCUUGAAUACAUUAGCAUGGAAUAAUGAAAUAGGACGAUCGAUCCUAUUUUGUUGGUUUCUAGGAUUGACGUA
Molecule: ribosomal RNA, 216 nt
Filed under: Glomeromycotina sp.
Lineage: Eukaryota; Fungi; Glomeromycota
Description: partial small subunit ribosomal RNA
Rfam family: Eukaryotic small subunit ribosomal RNA (bases 87-216)
Source: RNAcentral